GGGCCUUUAGAUCAUUGGUAGAUCGCUGCAUUGACAUUGCAGAGGUAGAUGGUUCGAUCCCAUCAAGGCCCACCA
This 75-nucleotide transfer RNA is filed under the name Candidatus Pelagibacter sp. RNAcentral describes it as "tRNA-Val". It matches the Rfam family "tRNA". From Rfam's summary of the family: Transfer RNA (tRNA) molecules are approximately 80 nucleotides in length. Their secondary structure includes four short double-helical elements and three loops (D, anti-codon, and T loops). The record is from RNAcentral. Lineage: Bacteria; Pseudomonadati; Pseudomonadota; Alphaproteobacteria; Candidatus Pelagibacterales; Candidatus Pelagibacteraceae.